GCCUUCGUGGUGUAACUGAAAGCACACUCGGCUCAUAUUCUAAAGGUCCAGGUUCGACUCCCGGCGAGAGCA
This 72-nucleotide transfer RNA is filed under the name Stegodyphus mimosarum. It matches the Rfam family "tRNA". Rfam says of the family: Transfer RNA (tRNA) molecules are approximately 80 nucleotides in length. Their secondary structure includes four short double-helical elements and three loops (D, anti-codon, and T loops). Further hydrogen bonds mediate the characteristic L-shaped molecular structure. tRNAs have two regions of fundamental functional importance: the anti-codon, which is responsible for specific mRNA codon recognition, and the 3' end, to which the tRNAs corresponding amino acid is attached (by aminoacyl-tRNA synthetases). tRNAs cope with the degeneracy of the genetic code in two manners: having more than one tRNA (with a specific anti-codon) for a particular amino acid; and 'wobble' base-pairing, i.e. permitting non-standard base-pairing at the 3rd anti-codon position. The record is from Rfam by way of RNAcentral. Lineage: Eukaryota; Metazoa; Arthropoda; Arachnida; Araneae; Eresidae.